AGUCGGCUACGGUGAAGCUGUCAAAACCAGUGGCUCUGUGGACUCAGCAGGAUGUCUGCAAGUGGUUGAAGAAACAUUGUCCAAAUCAGUAUCAGAUCUACAGCGAGUCGUUCAAACAGCAUGACAUAACUGGGCGCGCCCUGCUGAGACUUACAGACAAAAAGCUCGAGCGAAUGGGGAUUGCCCAGGAGAACCUCCGGCAGCACAUCCUACAACAGGUGCUCCAGCUGAAGGUGCGAGAAGAAGUCAGAAACCUACAGUUACUCACACAAGCCUCAACCGAGGGUUCUCCAUAAACAUGGUUAGCCUUCCAAGCUGCUGUCCUGCCAGUCGAUAUGAACAUGGCCUGUUCCUCACAGAAAGACGAACUCUUGAUGCUGCCAGAAGAUAUCCUUGGAGCAUUGACAGAUUAACUGGAUUAACUGGAAAAAAAAAAAAAUUCGGUCAAGAUCAUGGGCUUUGGAAAGUCUUAGUUUGCUAUGGAUUUUUAAAUGAGGUGCAUAAUAUACAGUGCCAACUUGUUCCAAGUGGUCAUUGGCAGACCAUUAGCUGGAAAAUAGCUUCCAGUUUUCAUCACUGUGCAUAACUCAAGCUCCCUCGGGGAGCUGUCUGUGCCCUUCACUAGAAGUCCUGUUUUAGCAUGGCAACUACUGGAUUAUUUUAUUAUGUGUGCAGAUGGCAUGAUGUGUUAGAAAAAAAAAAUUACAGCAGUUCUGCAGUCUCAGUGGAAGUGUUCACAAUAUUAGGCCCUGGUAGGAAUGUAAACAUGUCUUGAUUGUGUUAGUUACGGCGUCUAAAGGUAUUUUGUCCAACUCUUAAGCACUUUACAUGACAACACUACACGGAAACGAAUCCACACGUUCGAUACAUGUGAGACAACCGAGUCUUUUCUUCUUUCUUUUUGUAAAUCUUGUCCUAUUUCUGGCUCAGACUGUCCAAGACAAGACUCCACUCCUGGCACAGCCCUGGCUGUUUGUGGUAGAUGGUGAAAUAUGGCCAUAAUACUGUUAGACUUAAUCUCUUGACCCUUGGCUGAACAGCUGGAUUUCUUAGAGCACCAAAGGGAAGGAGAGGUGAGCCUGGAGGUGGUACUGUCUUACCUCUUGUUUCCUCUUAACCUGGGCACAACUGGCCACGUGCACAUGCAAACACUCACACACAGGAGGCCUCUCUUUGGCCAAUGUACAUAUUCUUUCAUUCUGUAGACGCGUUCAUUCAAAAAAAGGAAGGGGGUGGCCAUCUUUUGAUCAUAGACUAUAUUGGGUAGAUGGUGAGGGCAGCUAAGUUGCAGUUUCCCUGGGCAGUCUGACUUUAACACUUUGGAAAACUUUCUAGGUCAAGGUUCGAUCACAGCUCUGAAGAGUAAAAGCAGCAAGUGACCCUCUGCAUGUCUGGAAAAGCAAGAGGUUCCAGUCCCACACUAGAUUUCUUCCUCAGUAGAGAAGCUACUAGUCCCUUUUAAUUCUUUCUGGGGUUCUACAUGCCACUAAUUUUUUUUUUUUUUUUACUAUGUUUUACAACAAAGCACAGUCCUAGGAAACGGGUCAACUCAGUUAUUGCUUGUCUUUAGGUAUUAGAAAAUUGUCCCUGUAGACGCAUCCUACAUCAUGCUUUAGCAUUUUUUUUUUUUCCUGAAAAUGUAAAGUUGACUGAACCACAGCCUCAGCACAGUGUGUUCUGAAGGCCCACAGUCCCAGCCUGGGACCGGCAGGCAUCGGGGACAUUUCUUUAAAUGAAUGUAACAAACCUGGGACCUGCCAGCACAAGCAAGCUUGGCAUUUUAAAGGGUCGCCAGACACGCACUCAUUGUCUGUUCUCCCCACAUCUUGCCUCCCCUGGGGAUAUCAGGAAAUGCACAGCCCAUUGGAAAACGCCCCCGCCUGAGAUUUGGAAACGUGACAGGGAAGGAAUGAGAGCUCCAAAUGUGAUUGGGUGAGUCACCCAGCGAGAUGACUCACCACAAGCCUGAAGGCUGCAGUGCCAAACAAGGGGCUUCCCAGAGGGAACUCGGAGGAGCUCAGGUCACUGCCAAGAUCUGGCCCUUGGGUGGGUUGGCGUCAGGACCAUCAGGCCCCCAGCAGACCAUCAUUCUUUACAAAUCCAAAAUUAGGGGGCCAAACCCUGGCUGGCCACCUCAGUCUCACUGUCCAUCACAUGAGGUUCAAUUCCCAUGACAGAGCUCCUUCUAAUCUUUCAUUUCUUCCUUUCUUUAUCCAGCGAGCGUUUAUUGAGCACCUACCAUGUGCCAUGCACUGUGCAAGGGCAGCAACAGUAUACAAGGUAGACUCCCCUGCCUUUAUGUUAGCUCUUCCUCCCAAACACCAACUCCAGCCCACCUUUUCCACAAUGAAGACUGAAUUCAGACAGUGUUUUUCUCCUACCAGUGUAACCUGUGUGCAAAUGCACAGGCUCACACUUUGCAGGCAGUGCCCUUGCUGAGGAAGUGGGCAGGAGAGGAAGAGGAGGCAGGCCAUAUAUUCACACCCUUCAUGUAUAGCCAACCCUUCCAGUGCCCAGAUUUAGGUGGUAAGAGCUCCCCCAAGCAAUGUUCAGUUGCUUCCUUUAAUAUCCACCCUGCUCACUUAUCCAUCCUUUUUACAGGUAGAGCCAUUCCUCAUGAUACUGGAUUCUGGGAAGCCCCAAUGCUAUGACUGGUCCUGGGGACACAGAAUUGGGCCUGAGGAAUUCAAAUGAACUACUGCCAGGUGCUGAGACAUUGUAGCUGGGAAUGAACUGGUUUAGCUUGGAGUGCUCUGAGAACUACUGGUAACACCCUUAGAAAAUUGGACAUGCUUUACGGGGCAGAUGUUCAUGAUAUGAUGAUGGUAGUUCAUCCUUACUUUGGCAUUUGCAAAAUAUGUUCUGAACAUGAGUAGAGUUUUAUAGCUUUUUUCGAGUCACAAAUGUGCUGGACAAUGAUUAAAAGAUGAUGGCUGAAGAUGGAGAUGGGAGAAGGCAAAGAUGGAAACAAUGAAAGAGCCCCAUUGAAGAUGGUGUCUCUAAAAAUGCCUUAAUUCCUGGCACAUACCACAUAUUUGCAUGUGAGCUACUACUGUUUUCCAAACUGUCAACCUCGGUUUGAAAUCAUUUGGGGGCAUAGUUUUGGAAACGUGGUGGCCUAUAAUCUGAGCAGUUACAAGCUAAACCAGCAAAAUAGAGAAAUGAUUUCCUUCACAGCCUUGGGAUUCUUUGUUAUGCAUUGAUCCACAGUUACCCAUGGUUACUUCCUGCUGUGCUGUACCUUCUUCCCAAGAUAUAUGUAGGACGUUUUACCUCCUAGAAGUGCAGAGAUGGCUGUGGUGAGUUUUGUUUAAUGGGAAGCAGGAGACAGGAAGGUAGGGGAUAAAUAUUUUGACGACUAAGGGCUGUAAACUGUGGAUGCUGAACUUUUCCUUAAACCCAGGCUGCACCUUUUAUUUAAAGGCUGCCCCCCCCCCCCCCACACACACACACACAUGCUUGUUCAGGAAAGGCACUCUUGGGAGUGAGCCAAAAUGAAUAAUUAUCAGACUCUUGAGGGGUACCCAGGGGAUAAAUUGUUCCAGCUCCAGAGCUGAAUUUAAAUAUGCAAAGCAUCAGUGGUCCUGCCUCAGUAAAAAGCAAAUCCCUUCAGUAGAUUAAGCCUACCUAGGGGGGCAAGAGACCCUAUCAGCUUUCUUGUGGGCGUGGCUCAUCUUCAAGUCUCUGCGCAGCCUCUGUGAGGUGUGUAACCGCCCCGUGGACUUCUACCUCCAGAAUACAGGGAAAUAACCCCGGGUUCCCUCCGGAGUCCCUUCUCAGUUGCUCGGACAGUGGCUAAUAGUCCUUAGAUCUGAGGGACUCCUUCCUGGUUUUUAACCUUCAAGGGGAAAAGGGACAUCAACCUUACGUGAGAAUAUAAUGGAAGCAUUAAAACUUCUAAUGGGCGUACCCCCUUGUUCCUUGCAAAUGUUUUCUUUGUCUGCAAAUGUCACAUAAUCGAUUUUGGCGCGGAACAAUGGAAGUCUCACAAAGGAAAAGUUUUCAAGACCCCCUUAGCACUUUCAUUUUGCCAAAACCUCCUCUUUCAGUGCUUCAGCGGCUUCAUUCUUUGUACUGUUUUCCUCUCCAUUCAAGUAAUUUUGUUACUUGACAACUAGACUUAAAGCUGCCAUGGUCUCUUUUUUAAAAGUCUAAUCUUUGAAAAUGACAUCAAUUCCUUUAUGCCUUAAAGGCAGUUUUAUUCACCUCUUCCACAACCCUCUCCACUUCACUUUCUUGCUUUGUUUUGUGAGGUGUGUUUUUUUUUUCCUCUUAAUCUCUUUCUUUUCAUAACAUAGUUCCUUGGGCAGAUUUCAAGUAUUCCGCAAAGAACCCAAACAGAAAAACAUAGUCGUCCCCUUUCUUACCAGUUCUGACUAAUAAGUCCUUGUUGAGCUUGAUCUGGGUGAAAGCUUGGUGCCCAGACCACACUGGGCAGGAAUUCUCAUCGUCUGGAGAGUGGCCGGUCACUGCAGUAAUCAAAACAAGACCCGCGACUCACGAGGAAGGACAGACGGCCUGGGAGAUGCAGCUGCUUGGGCACAGCUGGGGACUGUGUUUCAAAGACUAGCGGGUCCUGUCCCUUUGUCUCUUUAGAUGUGCAUCUAAUCCUGUAGCCAGAGAACUGUCUUAAGAAUUCUGCUUUAUCAAUGUGAGUGAUUCCUGGCUCCGCUGCACAGCUUCAAGGUCAGAGAGGGCUGCAUUUCCAUUACUUUGCUCUGGUGACUUCUGCCUCUAGUAAAGAGGCAAGAAGGCUUCAUUUUUUAAAAAUGUUUUUAAAUAAAUUUUAUGGGGGUCUCAUUGACUUAACAAAGUUGCAUUAGUUUCAGGUGUACAGCAAAGUGAAUCAGUUAUACGUAAUACCUAUAUACCUUCCAAGGAGGCUUCUUUUGAAAGCUAACCACCUGUGGAAAGCUUGAAAAACUGGCCAGUUGCACAGGGAGGUUUGGCCACCCUUUAAUAAAAGGAACCAAAUCAAGCUUUCUCUAGGGAUUCUCAUUUGGGAAGUUGGCUAGGAGGAUGGUAUCAGUACAGGCUUUCUUCUGGCCAUUAUCUUGGCCCUGCAGGGAAAAUUCUGGGCAAGGAGGACAAGCACAGAGAUCUAACAUAUUUAGAGUGCAAUUUGCCCAUGACAAAUCUAGAGGAGAAGUGCCAUGGAGGAAAGGGCUGGUUUCAGACCUCCUUCCCAGCAACACAGACUGAGACAUAAUGUCCACAGAACAACAGAAAAGGGGUAGCAGAGGCUUUGUAAAUCUGGACUUUCCCAUGCCACGUUGGGCUAUUUUAAAGCCUUUCAGAGCCCCAAGCAUCCUUACUUCAGAGGCUCCCAAUUAUAUCAAGCGCUCGAAGGCACCAACAACAUACACCUAAUAAAAUUUCAAAGUAGCCAUGUGACUUGCAUUGCUUUGCAGGUGACUGGUUGACAUUAAGUGUUACAGCUAUUUAGACAUUAAUUCUGAUUAUGCAAUUCCUUUUUACAUUUUGAAGCCAGUGGUUUGGGGUUUCCAUCGUUUCAUUGUUUGUUUUGUUGUUGUUGUUUUCCAAACCUCAAACAUUUACAGAAGCCUUAGAAAGGCUCUUCGACCCAGAUCUUUUUGCCUGAAGCACAGAAAUAGAAACAGCCCUCUGAUGCAAACAAGGCAACGGUUAUAUUAAUCCAACUUUAGAGAUGCUAGCACCUAAACUCUUUAAGACCCUGAUGACUCUGCUGGUUGCCUUCUGCAUUGUUUAUAGCCUUUUAAGUUUCAGUCGUUUGGAUCAAGGGAAAUAAACAGGCUGCCUUCCCAUGCAUGGCCUUGCCACACCAGCACGCACACAACCACUACACAUGGAAUCCUAAGCCAGAUUCAUGUGCCACAGCACACAGAUCUGUUUCCGGUGAUCUUAUCUAAUUACCAUCCCCGACCCAACCCCCCAUUUUCUAUAAAAAUGGAUUCAUAUGCUUUACUCUAAAAAAAGUUCUAAAAUGAGGUUCGUACUCAUUAGAUCAUGACUUCUCUUGGGGUGGGGGAAUUGACUUUGCGACAUAACCUUGGAGAAAAAUCACUGGCUAUUAAAUGCCUUGGUGAUUGCUCCUGUGCCCUUCCAAAAACCGAUGUUGGACUUCUCCCAUCUCCCCAGAGGUCAGCCUGGCCUCCCUCUCAAGCAGCACAAAUAUCAUGAAGAUACCUUUGGAAGUGUCUAAACAGACUCCCUAUUCAAGCAUAAUUCCAAAAAUGGGAUUUGAAUCAAAGACUGCCUUGAUUCUGGGUUAUGUGAUCCCUAAAUCAAUUCCAAUUCUUUAGAUAUAUAUCCACAGCAUUUUUUUUUUCACCUGCAUCCUCUAUGUUAAUGUGUUUGCAUCAGGGGCUACACACUAACUCUGUCACAACUUUUGACAAUGUCUAUGCCAUGUUCCCAUUCCGUGCAUCAAGAGAAGACCAAAAAAAUUUCCUUUGGUACCAGCCGCAGAGGUUCUAAAGUACAGAACCAGGUAUUUUUUCACAUCAGAAGGCCCCUGUUUAUAGGUGGAAACUUUAAAGAGAAACAAGGGAAGGGAUAUUCCUAUUUGAACUCUGGAAUCUUUGUUUUUUCAUUGUCAUUCGGGUCUCACCUCAGAGCACCCUUCUCUUUCUAGAAGCAGCAGCUUCUUCGGGGAGUGUUGGCCCCCAUUGGAGGUGGUUGGGAUUCCACUUGCUUAAACUUACAGGAAGGGCAUCGGAAGGCUCUCUGAGGCUCUGCGUGAGUUCUCCACUCCUCCCUUUCUUUCACCAGUAGAAAAAUGCUAUCCUUACAAGGUCAUGUUUGAGGAGCCCUCAGUUUAGCCAAUGAACCUCCACGUUACAGAGAGCUGAACAAUGCCAGGUUCUUGACUGUGCCCUCUAAGCCUCAGUCGUGAUUGGCACAGAAGCAACCAGUCUGCUGAAAAGCCGAGCCAGCACAAAUGUUUUGAAACGAAUUCCACUGAAACUCUUGUUUGUUACAUCAUACUUGCUGUAGUUCCAGAUAAUCCAACUAUUUAAUAUCAUGAGGUACUAAAUUAAAUAGCUGUACACAAAAUUUUAGAAAAGAUCAAUAUUGUAACAAAAUUACAUAUUAGCAGUAAAAAGUACCCAAGAAAAGAAAAUAUUGAUCCAUUGUGGUUUCUAUACUUGAGUUAUUCUUAGGACUCUGGAGAGACUGGCACUGCUCUGAUAAAUGAGAAGAUGGCUUUCUUUGGUCUUUGAAAAUGUUUAUCGGAGUAUAGUUGAAUUUGCAAUGUUGCGUUAGUUUCAGGUGUACAACAAAGGGACUCAGCUACCUAUAUACACGUGUCUGUUCCUUUUCAGAUUCUUUUCCUAUAUAGGUCACUACAGCGUGUUGAGCAGAUUUCCCUGUGCUGCACAGUAGGUCCCCGUUACUCCUCCAUUCCAUAUAUGGGGAAGACGUUUUGAAUUCGAGAAUACGAACUUGAACUAAGGGGAAACUGCCUGUCUCUCUGGGCUUCUGCUCAUCUGUUUGGGAUGCUCCCUGUUCCAUCUCAGCAGACAGGGUUGUUGGGAGGCCAAAAUGAGCAAAGGGGAGAAGCUAUGCUGUACCACCCAUAUCUGUGUAUUCAUCCUGGUGAGCUGGGCUAUUGGCUUUUGUCAGUGAGCCCUUUUCUUUUGUUUAUGCCUUCCCUUCAUAGCUCUUAUUACUCAGAUUCCAUUCUGGAAUUUUGAAAAGUAAAAUAAGAAAGUUAUCAAUCAGCAUUCUGAAUGCACACCCAAUAUAUGGCGACUGGUCUACAAAGCUCAUGGUCAAGGUGCCCAUUCAUCCCCACAUCACCUCCCAAAGGUUUAGAGCACUAGCCGAGCGGAGCUCAGUGCAGGUGAAGAUUGCCAAUCCCCGAGGUUGAAGACAGCCCAUGAAGUUGACAAAUUGAGGGUCACAGGAAGCAGAGAGCCACAUCGAACUUCCUUGAUGAGCUGCCAUAUAUUAGUCUUUGUGCUAGGAAAGAAAGAGGAAGAAAAAUGAGACAAUGUGAAUUGCAUGUGAGACCAGGGCUCUCAAUUGAGUAUGAGAGGGGGGAAAAAUCCUGCACAAAAAACAAAACAAACAAACAAAAAAACCUGGUUCACUGUUUUGCAGACACUAACAAACAUGGCUAUAAAAGCACAUUUUGUAACACAAAAGCCUACGUAGAUCGUAGACAUGUUUAUAGCAUCCUUAAUUGUGUAGUUAAACCAGCAGUCUGAAUUCUCUUAGUCCCCUGAGUGGUUAAUUAAAUAUUUUCCUUAUUCAUUGCCCACAACUGUGGUUUUCCCCCUCUAUGCACCCUAGAAAAAUUCCCAAGACUAGACUUAGGAGGACACAAGCCGGUUAUGUGGUAAAAUAAGAGUGCCUUUUCUGUUGGAUGUUCAUUUUAGUGCCCUGCAUUUCCAGGGCAUACCAUGUUUAGAAACUUUUUUCUCUAAACGUAGGAAUUACUAGGCACCACGAUUUUGAAAUACCAAUUUCCAUAUCUUAAGCAGCUGUCAACUUGCCAAUUCCCUUUGGGUCUCCUUUACAUUUUCUUAUAAUGUUUCCUUGUGUUUUGGGUUGCCCUCAAAAAGAGUUUUGGGGGGGGCAUGACUUUUUAAAUUGAUAGAAAUGCAACUGUACAGAUUUUUGCCCCCUUGUAUCUGUGAGCAUGAUCUCUAUCAGGCUUGAAAAAUCUGCUUUAUCAUUUUGUAUAUUUGACUAUUUUGUAUUCAACAUUACUUGAUUCCUUAUGUGCAUGGCGAUGUAUUAAAAUGUGGGAUUUCUAUUACCGUG
Molecule: long non-coding RNA, 8754 nt
Filed under: Sus scrofa (pig)
Lineage: Eukaryota; Metazoa; Chordata; Mammalia; Artiodactyla; Suidae
Description: lncRNA (ENSSSCG00060035174.1)
Source: RNAcentral